RNA transcript from Zeugodacus cucurbitae (melon fly), 7162 nucleotides. It is a transcript of the gene named Bardet-Biedl syndrome 4 protein homolog, with no coding region annotated. The transcript is spliced from 14 exons. NCBI's taxonomy places the organism in Eukaryota, Metazoa, Arthropoda, Insecta, Diptera, Tephritidae. The record is from RefSeq and is a predicted model, not a curated record.
CGUUUGAAAUGUAAACAGAAUAAUUUUAAUUUUAACAAUUUCAAUUAUGAUUAUGUUUGUUAAUUUUAAUAGAUUGUUAAUAGUUAUUUAUUGCUAUUGGUGUAAUUUACACUUUUUAAUAUAUGUAUUGCCUUCUAAUCCAACAUUCUUUGCAACUUUUGCUUCAUAACCGCAAAUUCGAGAUUCGUUGGUGUUAUGCUCUUGUGCAAACAAAUCCAUUUUCGUGCAACCAGACGUAUGAGCAACAUUUAUGCUGCCACGAAUCGUUCAAAGUAUGCGAAAUAAAUUCAGCUCACGAUCACUAUAGUGAUAUAUCAACUACCAUAAAUAGACUAUAGCCUUGAGUAGGCGUUUGUGGGAAUUAAGAGAUUACAUAUUCACCUAAUUUAGAAGCAGUUAAGCGGAAAAUAACGUUUAACGCUUAAUACGUCUAUUUCGGGCUUGUUUACAAAAUUGUUAGCACUUUGGAAUUUGCCGCUCCAUUCGCAAAUAACAGGCAUGUACAUACAUACAUACUUACAUGCAUUCAAACAGUUUCUGACAUUUCUCAAUAUUUAUUUAUUUACUUGUGUUUUAUAGCUAAAAUUCAAUUAAAGUUGACGCUAUGAUUGCAUUUAUAUUGCAUUUAAACGAAUUUUUUCACUAUUUUGGUUAAUCUCAUUAAGAAUUCAAUGCUUUGAAAAUGCGCUGAUAUAGAAAAAUCGAAUGCAACAUACAUUUGAAAAUAAUUAAGGGAGAAUGAAGAGAUGCAAAACCCAGUCUUUGAGCUGAAUCCAUCUUCGCAGACACAAAUUCCCGCUGCAACUAAAUUUUCAACUCUGCUCUAUCCAGUCAAUUAUUAAAAAUGUCACUGCGGAAAUGACCAAAGCUCGUUUAAACGCGUUCCAAAUUUCCAAAGACAUUUCCCAGCAGAUUGCCAUAGUAACAAGCAUUUGUUUUGGCUUGCAACUAAAUUAUUGUUUUUAUUUGUGCGCAAGGGAAAAACUACGGAUUUAGUGCUAACAAAACAAGUAGAGAGUGAUGAAAUGUAAAAAAGUAUUAAAUAAACGAAAAAUUGUGGACUUUCCAAAUACACGAACACACACACGCCCACGCAAUAAUCGACUAGGACACAAUUACGGAAAUUAUUUGAAUAAAAAAAAAAUAAAAUAAAAAUAAAAAAGAAAACAUAAAAAGUGCCAACAGUGCCUGAGUCAUACAUUUUAUUGACUACAUUAGCAACAUCAAUCGCAUGGCCAGUGCGGACGAGAUUAUAUGCAAUGGGCACGUAAUAACGUUGCCCACGCUGGAGGUCGUCAAAGCGGUUCCCAUCAUGGCGGCUGGUACAAACAUCGAUUGGUUGCUACAUCUCUAUUAUGCGCGGCGUGAUUUUAUACGUUGUCGCAUUAUAAUCGAGCGUGAGCUGCGUAGUAGUCUCAAUCCGGAGUAUAUGUAUUUUGUGAAGGGUUUAAUUGACCGUGAAGAGGGUAACAACAUUGAAGCGCUACGAAAUUUACAAAAGGCACUCGACUUAAAUUCCAAGAAUAUUGAGAUCUACAAAGAGAUUGGGAAAACCCUCUUCAUUAUGGGUCGUUUCAAUCAGGCUUUGGAUAUUUUUCGCGAAGCGGAAGAACUCUCGCCACGACAGGAUCAUGAAAUUUGUCAUUUCAUUGGUGAAUUAUUGCAUCGCUCGGCGGCCGCUGCCAAUCAAUUAGCAAUUGCACGUAAAGAGGAGGCCGAGGCGAAGUUUUACUUUGAAAAAGCCGUGCAGGCGGGCAAAAAGUUGGAGAGUUUCCAGCGGCUGGCGGAAAUACUGCGCAAGGAAAAGGACUAUGCAAAGGCCAUUGAGGUGCUCGAGAACUGUCUGCUUUUAUCACCCGAAAACACUGAAGUGCUCACCGAGAUCGGUGUGCUUUAUUUGAAAAUCAACGAUACUCAGAAUGCUUUCGACCGCUUAUCGGAAGUCAUCGCUUUGGAUAGGAAGUCGCCAAAAGGAUUGUUGGCGUAUGGUGCCAUAUUGCAGUCACGCAAUGAUGUCGACGGCGCUUUGGAGAAAUAUCAAGAAAUUGCCAUGACAGAACCGGACAUACCCGAAUUGUGGAAUAACAUUGGAUUGUGCUUUUUCAAGAAGAAGCAACAAAAAGUGAUUGCGGCGAUUUCUUCACUGCGCAAAUCAAUUUGGCUUUCACCGCUUAAUUAUAAUGCUCUCUACAAUUUGAGUUUAGUUUAUAUAACAGCACAACAAUAUGCGAGCGCCUUUCACACACUCGCCGCGGCCAUCAACUUGCGCAAGGACAGCGCUGAAUGCUACAUGCUACUCGGAAUCUGUUUGCGUAAGUUGGAGGAUACAGAGAAUGCAUUCAAGGCAUUUCAGCGUUCGAGUGAUAUACAACAACAACAGCAGCAACAACAGGAUGCCGGACGUAAUCCACUUGUACAUUUGAACUUUGCACUCUUUUGUUAUGAGACCGGACGCGUUGCGCUCGCCACGGAGCAAUUUACACGCUUUGUUAGCUCGUCGCAAGAUCUCCUGCUGCCGACCGAAUCCUUGCAGCGUUUGCAGCAUUUAAAGCAGUUAAGGUGAUCCUCCACACCGGAGUCAAACACACGUCGUGGUGACCCGCGUCAGUCGGGUCAUUUCCAUACUGCCGAAAUUCUUCUUGAAGAACAACGAUUUGAAUGUGGUGCGAAAUUGUUUCGACAUCAGACCGUAGAGCACAAAUCCGACGGCGGCAUUAAUGAGCGCCAACAGAUCCAUCAUCUCACCGAAUGGUGGAUAGCAAACGAAGAAGAAACAUUUCGCCAACACGCCAGAGAGUAGACCCAAUAUGCCUUGUGGAAAUUCAGUGACCAGGAAGAGUAUGAGUACGGCAACCAGUAGCAUGGUGGUGCGAUCGGUGCGACGAUCACAUUUUGGUGGACUGUGCGGAUGGAAAAAUAAAGUGUAAAUUAAUGUGAGUAUUAUUGAUUUUUUUUUUUAAUUUUAAUCGUAUAUUAGUUAUUAAAUAGUAUUUGUUUAGAAAAUAUUAAUUUAAGGGGUUACAUGGGUUUUGUCGCGUAAAAAAUGACCUAUUUUCAAUAUUUUUUUCUGUGUAAAAAAUUAUUUAUUUAAUUCAAACUUUUUUCUGUCUUAUAAGAUACAUAUUUAAAGAAUAAUUUCUGAAAUUAAAAAAAAAAUAAAAAUAAAACUCCUCCAUUGCGACGUAGUUUCCGGUGAACCCCCGGGAAAAAGGUGCGUCCACGUUGUCAGCAUAACUUCUGACAGGAUCAUCCAAAAUGAAAAAAACAGAAAUAAAUGUUUUAGUUAAGACCAUAAACUCGUGCUUGAAUGAAGGCUUGACAAAAAAAGUAAAAAUUGGAAUUUUGGCAGACAUUUUUUCGAAAAAAAUAAAAAUUUUGUUAAAAUUUGCUUGACAAAAAGUAAAAUCCUUCGUUCAAGCACGAGUAAAUUGUAUCUCGAACACCUGUGCAAAAUUUCAUCAAUAUCGGUUAAGUAGUUUUCUAGGAACUUUGACAACCGACUUUGCAAACACGGUUCCGAGAAAAACCCGUUUAAAGCUUUGAGUAACAAUAAUACCUGACUUGGAGUGCACACCUUCCAAAGGCUGUAUCUCCGAAACUAUUAUUCGGAUCGACUUGAGAUGUAGUAAAAAAUAAUAAGCCAAAAAACAAAAAAUCAAUUUUUUGAAUCCACGAAACUCAGGUAACCCCUUAAUGAGGAACAUUAGAAUUUUAUGCAUUUCGUAGUAUUUUCAGUAGUUCCAAUAAUCAGUAUUUGUAACAAUUUCCAUUGCUAAUGGAUCCAACUGUCAUUGCCGUAACAAAAAAAGACUGUACCGAAUAUUUAGAACUUUUCCCAAAUUUAGACAACAUCAAACAUUGUGCUAUAAAUUUGGAAAAAAAAUAGUUCUGAAAUUUAAUAGUGAAGCCACAACACUAUUAAUUAUUACUUUUAUCGGCAGUUGGCAAAACUUUGCUGUUUUACAUUCUAUUUAAACCCCUGGUCAGUGGUAACACAUUAGGAAGUUUUUGGCGGGAGAUACAGAAAAGGAACUUGGGCUCAGUUCAAAAGACGAAAAUUGUCAGAACCCAGACAUUAUAAUAUAUGUCUAAUCUGUAACAGUAACUUGAUCCCAAAUUAACAAAUAAUGAAGUUUGACUUUAGAAACCUCAUUUGCGGGAUGUUUUGAUAUGUUCUUUGUGGAAACAUUUCUGACUUAAUUCUUUCAAUCGUCUAUUCUGUAUAUCGACGGGGAUGAUUUAGGCGCCGAAAUAAUUCACAAUUCUUUUGAUUUUUUUUCUAAUAUUCUGUGAAUUUCCUGCAAAAAGAUUUUUCUAGAUUCAAUAACUGACAUAAAAUAUUACACUUAAAUGUCAGCAGUUGUUGCAAGUAAUGCCAAUUUACUGUAUCUAAGCUUUUCCCAUAAAUUUAAGAAAGUCAUACAACCUUUCUGUGCAACAUGGCAACGUUGUUGAUGCCUGCGUAUUGCCAAAUGCGUAUUGCAAAAUAGUCCUCUUCAAUACACAUGGAAUAAUACCCUCGUUCAGUGUAACACAUUGCUUUCAUUGCAUAGUAAUUCCAAAGAGAUAUUGCAAAGCAUUGUAGUAGCAUAACAAUUCCAUUGAAAGGCAAUACUAAUUGCAGUUGCAACAGAUUUUUUGAUUCUCAGUUUCUUCGAAAUUUAUACAACGUAAAUUUGACGGGCCCAUAUGUAUCAUUUUGCAUAUUCUAUCAUGAAUUCCCUAGCAGUGCUACCGAGAAAUUUAUUUUCUGGGAAUUUCACAAUAGCUAUUUAAACCAACCCGAAUGGUGAUUGGUCAGCUUGGCAUACAAUUGACUAAAAGCACCGAGAAUUAUUAAAUGCGAAUCAAGAAUGCAAUUUUAAUGUUUUCAUGAAUGUGGCAUAUUCUUGUUUACUUUGAGUAAAAACAUGCAAAAACGUUAACUUCGGCUGUACCGAAGCUAAUAUACCCUUCACAGGUGCAUUUCUUUUAGUAACUAUGUAUGUGUUUCAGCAAAUCUAAAGACGUAAGAAAAAUUAAGUAAAAAAAAGAAAACAUUUUACUAAUUCUUUUUAGCCGGGUUGCUUGCUAGAAACAUUAAGGUUAUUUAAUAAAGAAAAUAGAUCCGUGUCAUGUAAUCCAUGUCAAAUUUCGUGAAGAUACCACGUCAAAUGCGAAAAUUUUCCAUACAAGCCCUUGAUUCCGAUCGUGCAGUUUGUAUGGCAGCUAUAUGCUACAGUGAACCGAUCUGAAGAAUUUUUUCGGAGAUUAAAUUAUUUCUAUGAGCAAUACCUCACACCAAAUUUCGUGAAGAUAUGUAGUGAAAUGCGGAAGUUUCCCAUACAAGCUUUUGAUUCUGAUCGUUCAGUUUGUAUGGCAGCUAUAUGCUACAGUGAACCGAUCUGAACAAUUUUUUCUGAGAUUAAAUUAUUUCUAUGAACAAUAACUCACACCAACUUUCGUGAAGAUAUGUAGUAAAAUGCGAAAGUUUUCCAUACAAGCCCUUGAUUAUGAUCGUUCGGUUUGUAUGGCAGCUAUAUGCUACAGUGAACCGAUCUGAACAUUUUUUUCGAAGAUUAAAUUAUUUCUAUAAACAAUAACUCACACCAAAUUUCGUGAAGAUAUGUAGUAAAAUGCGGAAGUUUUCCAUACAAGCCUUUGAUCUUUCUGAUCGUUCAGUUUGUAUGGCAGCUAUAUGCUACAGUGAACCGAUCUGAACAAUUUUUUCGGAGAUUAAAUUUUUUCUAUGAGCAAUACACCAAAUUUCUUGAAGGUAUGUAGUAAAAUGCGGAAGUUUUCCAUACAAGCCCUUGAUUCCGAUCGUUCAGUUUGUAUGGCAGCUAUAUGCUACAGUGAACCGAUAUGAACAAUUUUUUCGGAGAUUAAAUUAUUUCCAAAUUUCGUGAAGAUAUGUAGUAAAAUGAGGAUGUUUUCCAUACAAGCCCUUGAUUCCGAUCGUUCAGUUUGUAUGGCAGCUAUAUGAUAUAGUGGACCGAUAUCGGCAGUUCCGACAAAUGAGCAGCUUCUUGAAGAGAAAAUAACAUCUGCAAAAUUUCAAAACGAUAUCUUAAAAGCUGAAGGACUAGUUCGUAUAUAUACAGACAGACGGACAUGGCUAAAUCGACUCAGUUCAACAUUUUGAUCAUUUAUAUAUAUACUUUAUAAGGCCUCCGACGCUUCCUUCUGGGUGUUACAAACUUCGUGACAAACUAAAUAUAUCUUGUUCAGGGUAUAAAAAACUCUUUAGAAUGACGAUUGCUAGUUUUUUUUAUCACUCUUUAUCAUUAUGCUAUAUUAUACUAAUAUAUCAUUGAUAUUAAAAAAAUAAGAAAUUGUGAUAAUAAUAAUUUUAUUUAUUGCUAUUUUUCGAUACAAAAAUAUUACUCAUACGCACCGUUGUGAGUGUCGUUGCUCCGUCAAAGGUACAUCACCAGCGCAACUGGCACCUCCAUUGGCGCUGCCGGUUUUAGUGGGAUUAUUAUACUCCUUCAGUUUUUGCUUUCGCUUUGAUGCCUCGCAUAGUACUCGCACCAAUAUGAAGCUGAUAACGAAUUCUAAAAUACAAAAAACAAAAGUCACUAGAAAAAAUAUUUUCAAAUUCAGAGCUUUUAGGUAUUCAAUGGAUAUUAAAUUAGACUAAGAAGAUUUAUAAGACGGCAAUAUACACUAAAUAGUAAGCAUCUAUUUUAUUUCAUCAUGGCGAGCACAGUAAGUAACAGAGAAAUAAAGCGAACGCACACAAUAAAUUCAACAAAUCAAAUAAAUUAAAAAUAUGUGUCACCCUGUGCGCUAAAACUAUUACAACAACAAUCAAACAACCAUAAUUUCCAUAGCAAAGUGCAUCGCUUGCUACCAGGCGCCCAGAACAACGCAGUAGGCAACGCAUUACCACUGAAAAUACCAGCUGUUCUGCCAUAAGUAGACUUCCAACAACAAAAAUGGGUUCCACAAUCGCAUUCUUUCGCAUAACAACAAACAUUAGCAUCAAAUAUCAAAUCGUUCCUAUGCCUAAGCCAGACUGAUGCAUAUCAUUGUACAUGUAUUUUGUUAUUGUAAAUUUAAUCAAGUAAGUUCGCUUGCUGUGAUCCACCUACUUGCUGCUUAUGUUCGCCAGGUACAUUGCAUUGAAUUCUUAUGGGGAAAAUAAAUGAAGCGACUGCGAUCGCAUUAUAAAAACAAA